Non-coding RNA from Nicotiana tabacum (common tobacco), 1057 nucleotides. NCBI's taxonomy places the organism in Eukaryota, Viridiplantae, Streptophyta, Magnoliopsida, Solanales, Solanaceae. The record is from RefSeq and is a predicted model, not a curated record.
GCUUUAUUUUAGCAAAAAAUAAAUCUUGUGAAUAAUUGAAAUAUCAGUUAGGAAAUGCACAUAAACAAAUUAAAUAAGCCAAAAGUUCCAAAUGAAAAGAUUAUUACUAAGCCAUUCCAUUUCGAGGUAUUUUAGCACCCAUAUGUCAAUCCUUCUAAACCCAAUGCACUAGACGUCUAUCCAAUGCUAUGGGUGCUUAAUGAACAAUUUGUAUCAUAUAGUAUUAAAUAAUCAAUACUUAUAACUAUGUGGACUCAUAAGCAAGCACCCAUUCUUCUAUACGUGGAUCCGCCAUUGAUCUUACUGUUGUUACUAGUUGCUGCUACUGUUUCUUUUUCAUCUUUCCUUGAGCCGAGGGGUCUAUCGGAAAGAGCCUCUCUACCUUCACAAGGUAGGGGUAAGGUCAACUUAUUUUGUUGUUGUUUUUUAGUAAAUUGUUUCCGGAAAGCUUCUUGUAUAUUCUAUUGGUCUAAGUGAAUUUCUUUCUUGUAUUCAUUUUUUCUGAGACAAAAUUUGUAUUACCAACAUGGAGGUAUGAUAGGGUGGUUUGAGUUGCUUUUGUUUGUUGAAGAUGCCUUCAUUUACUUAACGGCUGGCUUCUUUUCAUUGCUGGAAUCUGAUUCUUGGACAAGUUAGUGUUCAUUUGACUAACAAUAUCCUAUUUUAUGUCUGCUGCUCUGUAAGCUUGAGGCAUUUGAAGUGUGGAAACUUUUUGCUUUGGUUUUAACAGUAGGAUUAUUAUUCCAUAGUACUUAGUUUUGUCUUUUGCAGGAACUCAAAGUAACGAGUUUACACAAUGAAAGGUUUUGUUGAGGUAUGGUCUCCAAAUAUUGUUCGGGCCAAGAAUAGUUGGUGCCACAAGUGACCACAGUUAUAUGUAUCUGGACCUGCCUUCUAACAUGGUCGGUUCGUUCUUGAUGGGUUGGUUUGGUGUGGUCUUUAAAGAGGACAUUUCCAGAUUUUCAACUUCACUGGCCAUUGGAUUGUCAACUGGUUUUCUAGGAAGCCUUACAACUUUUAGUGGUUGGAACCAGAAAAUGCUCGAUCUUAGUGUUGA